Long non-coding RNA from Amphibalanus amphitrite, 1262 nucleotides. RefSeq lists it as uncharacterized. Lineage: Eukaryota; Metazoa; Arthropoda; Thecostraca; Balanomorpha; Balanidae. The record is from RefSeq and is a predicted model, not a curated record. The transcript has 3 exons.
UCCUUUAAAGGAAAAGUGCCACCUUCUUGAAAUAUGAAGAUAUCGUUGGUUUUUAUUUUGACAUUAUUAUUUUCCAUUUUCUUUUCAAAACCGGUGCCAGAAGUGCAUAAUUCGCUAAAAAGUAUUUCAAACUAUUUAACAUAUUGGUACUAUGUUUAUACUCUCUACCGCAGCUACUGUAUGAUGUCAUAGCAAUGACGUCACACUCAAGCCAAUCAGCCUUGAGGAGGAUAGACUCGUCGGACUGUAGCGGUUGUAAACAACUUGUCGCCCCGUGUGUCUGCCCGUGGCGCUAGUUAUCUGUCGAAGUUACCACUGACAAUGCCCAAAACAAGAACAACAAAGGCCCAAAGGUGGCUGUUUGGUAGUGCGCAAAGCUGCUGGUGGUGGUGGACGUCUCUGCCCUGACGCGCGGCGUGCGUCUGCUCAGUGUGGAGGUGCCGCUGACAGCGGUGCCGGCCGGACCGGCUGCCUCUCCGGCGGCCGACAUUGAGCGCGGCACGUGUCCGGCGCCGUUCGGGCCGCUGCAGCUGCUGCAGUCGGCGGCGCAGCUGUCCGUCUCCGUGUCGCUGGCCGUGCCGCUGGACCUGCUGCCGCGGCCGGCGCCGGCGCGCUGCGCCUACGGCCGCCUGCUGGCCGUCGUCUCGCAGCGCGGCCUGCAGCGCAGCGGCGUGCUGCAGCUCAUCCAGCAGCUCAACGAGCCGCCCAGCCCGGCGGCGGCCGAGGGCGCCGCGCCGCGCCGGCCCGGCGACGUCAGCACACCUGGCAUCAGCGGCUUCUGCCUGGCCGACCGUCAGCUGCACCUGCUGUUCGCCGAGGGGCGCGCCGACGCCGAGCUGGAACAGACGGCGGCCGCGCCGCGCGCUCUGCCGCGCCGCGACGCUCGACUCUGCCACCACUCGGGCCUACUGUUUAGGGAGCUGUUUAGGAGCCUGUACCCGCGCCAGCCGGCCGCGUUCCGCGUGCUCGAGGACCGCCCGCUACGCGCCCAGCUGCUCGACACCCGCCUCUACACGUUACAGAAACAGGAGCCGGCGCGCGCCGUCCGCGCCAUCAGAGAGUGCUUCCGCACGCAGUGGCUGUCGGAAAAUGAACCUGCUUCCCAACGAGGCCGGCCUGCAACAACUGCUGGCCGGCUGUUGGCCGAAAAAAAACGCCUUCAACCGGAUGUCAGUUGUCAAAUCAACGCGUAUUAAUGCAUUCACUAGGAUGGGCUUACGUAAAGCUGUAGAAUUGCAAAUAUAUAAUGGCACUGUUUUUGA